RNAcentral lists this ribosomal RNA (493 nucleotides) under uncultured bacterium. RNAcentral's name for it is "partial 16S ribosomal RNA". It matches the Rfam family "Bacterial small subunit ribosomal RNA", at positions 30 to 523 of the family's 1533-position model. The record is from RNAcentral.
AUUGAACGCUGGCGGCAUGCUUUACACAUGCAAGUCGAACGGUAACAGGUUAAGCUGACGAGUGGCGAACGGGUGAGUAAUGCAUCGGAACGUGCCCGGUCGUGGGGGAUAACGCAGCGAAAGCUGCGCUAAUACCGCAUACGAUCUGAGGAUGAAAGCGGGGGACCGUAAGGCCUCGCGCGAUCGGAGCGGCCGAUGUCAGAUUAGGUAGUUGGUGGGGUAAAGGCCUACCAAGCCGACGAUCUGUAGCUGGUCUGAGAGGACGACCAGCCACACUGGGACUGCGACACGGCCCAGACUCCUACGGGAGGCAGCAGUGGGGAAUUUUGGACAAUGGGCGCAAGCCUGAUUCAGCAAUGCCGCGUGCAGGAUGAAGGCCUUCGGGUUGUAAACUGCUUUUGUACAGAACGAAAAGCUCUUCUCUAAUACAGAGGGGUCAUGACGGUACUGUAAGAAUAAGCACCGGCUAACUACGUGCCAGCAGCCGCCGUAA